AAAUGCUAUAAAUAAUAUCUUGCUUGUUAAUUAAUGAGUACACAUCUUUAAAUAAAAAAGGGUGAGAUCAAAUAUUAACUGUUGAUUCCCCUUUAGAUAUUUACAAUUUAGCAGUACAUCGAUAUGAUUCUCUAUUCCUGAAGUUAUGGUUCUGACAGCUUCCUUCCCUCAUCUUAUUUUUGAAUUUCCUCUUUGCCUCUUCCAGUGACAACAGUGGUCUAGAAAUGUUCAAGAUCAACUCAGCCAUAAUUAAUACCUCUAAAUCCAUCAUGCCAAUCCCUCAUUUCCAAAACACAGAUUCAUUUACUUGAGUGCACAAACUCAUUCCCAAAUGAGUACUGUGCCAAGGAAAUUCCAUCUCUCAACCCACACCAUGGAAGCUCUUUAAAUUAAGACAAAAAGAGGUCCACUAACAACUUGACCCUUCCUGGACAGAGAACCAGUUCCCUCCUCACUGAAGGAGUCACCAAGACUUUGAGGUUUAAAGGCAUCUCAGACUUUCCACUAUUAUGGCUUUGGUUUACCAGAAAGAUGUCAGCCUAGGCUCUGCAUAUAGAAAUCCCCAAUCUCCUCUUCCCAAGGCACAUAGUGACAUGAAUAGAGAGGCACAUUCUCUCUUUUCCCCAGCUUCUCUUUCUAAAAAGGGUGUCAAGUCACAGCCUUCCCCUGACAGGCUUUGUUUAUAACAGAAGUCAGAAAAAUUUACAGCCUGGCUCCUCCCUGGCCCUGAGACUGGAAUGCUUCAUUGGUUCGGUAAGCAAGAGCAAGAUAAAUCUCUUUCUUCCAGUACCAUCGUUGCUAGGUAAUUCACAGUGAAGGAAAUAAUUUUGUUCAAACUAAAGGAUAAUCAAGCAUCAAAGUAACAGAGCCGAAGAUGCACUUGUACAAAGCAACACUUUCAGUUCUGAAGAGUAGAGAUUUUCUUAGCAAGAGGAAAUCUCUUCCAAAUUAGGGGAGAAGUGAAAGGUAAUUCAGAGAAGGUUUGUUUAGAACAAUGGGAAAUGCUCACAAAACUAUGUUAAGUGAAAGAAAAAUGUAAUGUGUGAUAUGGUUACAACUAUGUAGGGAUGCAUAUUAUACAAUAAGGACAAAAAUAAUAGAAGUUAUGUAUAAGGUUGAUGUUAUAAUUCUCUUCCUGUGAAGUUUCCAAAAUAUUGUUGCUUUUAGAUUGGAAAAGAGAGAAAAAGAAGAUUUUUCUUUUUUAAAGUGUGAAAUAGUUUCAUCCUAAUGAACAGAGGAAUAAGCUUGGUGUUAACAGAUGUUAUUUGCACGUACACUUGUGACAGACAUGACUAAGAGCUAAUGUGAAAUUGCAACUCAACAAUGGUCGAUGGCACAGGCUUUCCAAUACCUAAGAAACCGUCCAGCGUCGCGCCGGCACUUCUCAAAAUGACGUCUGUGGAUGAAAUUCUACAGGCAUAUGGGGACACAAUCUGCUGACCUCUCGUUGUCAGAUUUUAAAGUGUCCUAGGGGCGACUGGGUGGCACAGCGGUUAAGCGUCUGCCUUCGGC
Long non-coding RNA from Ailuropoda melanoleuca (giant panda), 1512 nucleotides. RefSeq lists it as uncharacterized. Lineage: Eukaryota; Metazoa; Chordata; Mammalia; Carnivora; Ursidae. The record is from RefSeq and is a predicted model, not a curated record. The transcript has 3 exons.